CUGUGGGGAUGGCGUUUGCCAGAAGGACGGGGAAGGGGGUUGCAGAUCACGGGGCCCUACCUGUGUCUGCCCCCAGCCCUGCCUCAUUCACCUGCCCUGAUCCUGCCCUGCUUUGGCCGAUGCCUUCUAGGAGGUGGAAAUUCCCUGCCUGUGAGUGUGUGCUAGAGUGAGUGACUCACUCCUAAGGAAUAAGAGUAUGGGGAGGGAAAAAGAGCAGCUUUGCAGUGGGGAAACCUGGCAGACACCACCUGCACUAAGUGAUCAAGGCACUUUCCCUAAUACAUUUCUCACAUAUUGAAAUCUGUCUGGUGUCUGCUUCUCAGAGGACCCAGAAUAACAUGACUGAUACCUGGAGUGGUCUGAGAAAGCAGUCGGUAAGAUGGUGCUAUAGCUGAAUGUUUGUGUCCUCUGAGAUUCCCAUGU
This is a non-coding RNA of Microcebus murinus (gray mouse lemur), 423 nucleotides long. NCBI's taxonomy places the organism in Eukaryota, Metazoa, Chordata, Mammalia, Primates, Cheirogaleidae. The record is from RefSeq and is a predicted model, not a curated record.